RNAcentral lists this ribosomal RNA (253 nucleotides) under uncultured bacterium. RNAcentral's name for it is "partial 16S ribosomal RNA". It matches the Rfam family "Bacterial small subunit ribosomal RNA", at positions 524 to 776 of the family's 1533-position model. The record is from RNAcentral.
GACAGAGGGUGCAAACGUUGUUCGGAAUUACUGGGCGUAAAGGGCGCGUAGGCGGCCGAUCAAGUUAGAUGUGAAAGUCCUGGGCUUAACCUGGGGACUGCAUUUGAUACUGAUUGGCUUGAAUUCGGGAGAGGAUAGCGGAAUUCCCAGUGUAGAGGUGAAAUUCGUAGAUAUUGGGAAGAACACCGGUGGCGAAGGCGGCUAUCUGGACCGACAUUGACGCUGAGGCGCGAAAGCGUGGGGAGCAAACAGG